GACGAACGCUGGCGGCGUGCUUAACACAUGCAAGUCGAACGGAAAGGCCCUGCUUUUGUGGGGUGCUCGAGUGGCGAACGGGUGAGUAACACGUGAGUAACCUGCCCUUGACUUUGGGAUAACUUCAGGAAACUGGGGCUCAUACCGGAUAGGAGCUCCUGCUGCAUGGUGGGGGUUGGAAAGUUUCGGCGGUUGGGGAUGGACUCGCGGCUUAUCAGCUUGUUGGUGGGGUAGUGGCUUACCAAGGCUUUGACGGGUAGCCGGCCUGCGAGGGUGACCGGCCACAUUGGGACUGGGAUACGGCCCAGACUGCUACGGGAGGCAGCAGUGGGGAAUAUUGCGCGAUGGGCGGAAGCCUGAUGCAGCAACGCCGCGUGCGGGAUGACGGCCUUCGGGGUGUAAACCGCUUUCGCCUGUGACGAAGCGUGAGUGACGGUAAUGGGUAAAGAAGCACCGGCUAACUACGUG
Molecule: ribosomal RNA, 468 nt
Filed under: uncultured bacterium
Lineage: Bacteria
Description: partial 16S ribosomal RNA
Rfam family: Bacterial small subunit ribosomal RNA
Source: RNAcentral